ACAGAAACACAAUAGAUGAUAUCGUUACCCUAAUCUCUCUGUCUACACCGCGUCUCGGUGAGAAACAAAGCAAGAACCGAAAGAAACGAAAAUACAAGAAGAAGGAGCUAUACAGGAACUAGGUCAUGUCUGGUAUGUAUGGUCAAGACGGUGAUUCUGGCCCUCCGUCUUAUGGCGGCGGAGGUGGAUAUGGAGGUUACGGAGGCGAUGGUGGCGGGCGUGGUGGAUAUGGUGGUCGAGGUGGUGGUGGAGGCGGGGGAAGAGGCGGAGGAGGAGGAGGAUAUGGUGGUCCUUCGCAAAGUCGAGGAGGUGGAUACCAAGGAGGAGAUCGGGGAGGCAGAGGAGGCGGCGGAAGAGGUGGUGGCAGAGGUGGAAGCGGCAGGGAAGGUGAUUGGCCUUGCCCUAAACCAGGUUGUGGGAAUUUGAACUUUGCAAGAAGAGUUGCUUGUAAUAAAUGCGGUACUCCUGCUCCUGCUGCUGGCCAAAAUGAUCGCAGUGAUGGUGAUGGUGGUUAUAGAGGAGGAAGUGGUGGAGGAUUUGGUGGUAACAGAGGAGGAAGAGGUGGUGAUAGUUAUGAUGGUAAUAGAAGUAGUAAUUAUAACGAUGGAAGCAGAGGAGGUGGUUAUGAUAAUAGAAGUGGGAAUAGAGGUGGGUCUUACAGUGGUAAUCAAGGAAGAGAUGAUAGUGGAUACAAUCAAGCUCCACCACCAUCUCUCCCUUCAUAUGGUGGUGGUGGUGGAGGUAAUUAUCCACCGGCUCCGAACUCGUAUGGUGGGAAUGCUAAUUACGGAAUGGAAGCAGUUCCUCCACCUACAAGCUAUACUGGUGGACCCACAUCAUACCCUCCAUCUUAUGGUGGUCCUGCUAGUGGUUAUGGGGGUGAUGCUACAGGUGAGGUGAGGAGUGGUGGACGAGGUGGUCAACCUGGUGGGUAUGAAGGUGGACGUGGUGGUGGCGGUUCUCGAAAUCAGGGAGGUAGUGGUUAUGGGGCUGCUCCUGCUGAUGCCCCGGCUAAAAUUAAGCAGUGCGAUGAUAAUUGUGGCGAUACUUGUGACAAUGCAAGAAUAUAUAUAUCUAAUUUGCCACCUGAUGUGACCAUUGAAGAACUGAGAGAACUUUUUGGCGGCAUUGGACAAGUUGGAAGGAUUAAGCAGAAGCGGGGCUAUAAAGAUCAAUGGCCCUGGAAUAUAAAGAUAUACACUGAUGAGAAUGGAAACAACAAAGGUGAUGCCUGUUUGGCAUAUGAAGACCCAUCUGCUGCUCACUCUGCUGGCGGUUUUUACAACAAUUAUGAUUUCAGGGGCUAUAAAAUCAAUGUUGCAAUGGCAGAAAAGUCAGCUCCGAGGCAACCUGCACAUGACCAUGGUGGUGGUAGAGGUGGCUAUGGUGGUGGAGGUCGACGCAGGGAUAAUUACCGAGAUGGUGGGAAUUCUGGUCCAGACAGGCAUCAAUAUGGUGGAAAUCGAUCACGUCCUUACUGAGAGUGUCAUCUGAGCUGUUUAUGUACUAAGAAUUAUGAUCUGAGGGAUUUAAUUAUAUUCCUUUUCCUGGGGUUGUUCUUGAACUGGAGACUAAGAGAGGCAAGUGGAUAAUCUCCAAAUUGCUUGCUGCUAAGGUAGGUUGAUAUUUUCAGUGUUCGAGAGAGCAAAUCAGUUCGACUGACCACAUGCCAUCAAAGGGUGGCGUCCUGCAUCUUGAAACUGUUCAUCUCUAGUGUCUCGGCUUCCAAAUCGUUAACCUGCAGUAACAUGGAAGCCGCUCGAAUUCUGCAAAGAAACUCCCUGUUUUUGGUGUGUGGGGCCUCUGGUGGCUUGUUAUUGAGACAAUUGCCAUUGUUUAUCUGAGACAAAAUUGACUGCUUCGUUAGUGUUCCCACGCGACCUCUGGCAAUCGGAUAUCUUUGCUGUUCCUGGCAUUAGUCUUCUACCAUUUCGGUGUUUCACAAAGCAAAAGUUUAGGCGGUUUUAGACAUUUUUAUUGCAUUGCAAGUAGAUUGACUGGUUUAGAGUUGUGUUUCAUUGACAAAUUGUUGUUAUUCAUGUAAAACUAAUGUGGUUCCAAAUCAUUUUGUAUGGAUUUUGGGUGAGUUGAUUUA
Molecule: RNA transcript, 2095 nt
Organism: Populus nigra (black poplar)
Lineage: Eukaryota; Viridiplantae; Streptophyta; Magnoliopsida; Malpighiales; Salicaceae
Gene name: transcription initiation factor TFIID subunit 15b-like
Exons: 8
Source: RefSeq, a predicted model, not a curated record